AUAAGGUCUUCAAGUGGACAUCACUUGACCCACACACAUUGUGAACCGUGGCUUCGGCCCAAACUUUUACAGUAUUGAAUGUAUAUUAUCAUAACAAAAAA
This 101-nucleotide unclassified non-coding RNA is filed under the name uncultured fungus. Its description in RNAcentral is "sequence contains ITS1". Lineage: Eukaryota; Fungi. The record is from RNAcentral.